GACGAACCGUGCGAACGUUGUUCGGAAUCACUGGGCUUAAAGGGCGCGUAGGCGGGCUGUCAAGUCUGGGGUGAAAUCCCGCGGCUCAACCGUGGAACUGCCUUAGAUACUGACGGCCUCGAGGAAGGUAGGGGCAUGCGGAACUGUAGGUGGAGCGGUGAAAUGCGUUGAUAUCUACAGGAACUCCGGUGGCGAAAGCGGCGUGCUGGACCUUUUCUGACGCUGAGGAGCGAAAGCGUGGGGAGCGAACAGG
RNAcentral lists this ribosomal RNA (253 nucleotides) under uncultured bacterium. Its description in RNAcentral is "partial 16S ribosomal RNA". It matches the Rfam family "Bacterial small subunit ribosomal RNA", at positions 524 to 776 of the family's 1533-position model. The record is from RNAcentral.